Small nucleolar RNA from Corticium candelabrum, 139 nucleotides. RefSeq annotates it as U8 small nucleolar RNA. The transcript has a single exon. Lineage: Eukaryota; Metazoa; Porifera; Homoscleromorpha; Homosclerophorida; Plakinidae. The record is from RefSeq and is a predicted model, not a curated record.
CCAUUAGUAGGGAUAAUCCUUACCUGUGGUUGCCCAUAAGGGCGACCUCAGUAUGGGGUAUGAUGCAACGGAGAUGCAUGAUGACCAUGAGUUACAUCUCCACUCCUCAGGAGACGCCACCUGAAGGAGGCCUGCUGAU